RNAcentral lists this ribosomal RNA (468 nucleotides) under uncultured bacterium. Its description in RNAcentral is "partial 16S ribosomal RNA". It matches the Rfam family "Bacterial small subunit ribosomal RNA", at positions 28 to 507 of the family's 1533-position model. The record is from RNAcentral.
GACGAACGCUGGCGGCGUGCUUAACACAUGCAAGUCGAACGGCAAGGCCCUGCUUUUGUGGUGUGCUCGAGUGGCGAACGGGUGCGUAACACGUGAGUAACCUGCCCUUGUCUUUGGGAUAACUUCAGGAAACUGGGGCUAAUACCGGAUAGGAGCUCCUGCUGCGUGGUGGGGGUUGGAUAGUUUCGGCGGUUGGGGAUGGACUCGCGGCUUAUCAGUUUGUUGGUGGGGUAGGGGCUUACCAAGGCUUUGACGGGUAGCCGGCCUGAGAGGGGGACCGGCCACAUUGGGACUGAGAUACGGCCCAGAGUCCUACGGGAGGCAGCAGUGGGGAAUAUGGCACAAUGGGCGGAAGCCUGAUGCAGCAACGCCGCGUGCGGGAUGACGGCCUUCGGGUUGUAAACCGCUGUCGCCUGUGACGAAGCGGGAGUGACGGUAAUGGGUAAAGAAGCACCGGCUAACUACGUG